This 481-nucleotide ribosomal RNA is filed under the name uncultured soil bacterium. RNAcentral describes it as "bacterial SSU rRNA". It matches the Rfam family "Bacterial small subunit ribosomal RNA", at positions 50 to 526 of the family's 1533-position model. The record is from RNAcentral.
AACACAUGCAAGUCGAACGGGGGAAGGUAGCUUGCUACUUAACCUAGCGGCGGACGGGUGAGUAAUGCUUAGGAAUCUGCCUAUUAGUGGGGACAACAUCUCGAAAGGGAUGCUAAUACCGCAUACGUCCUACGGGAGAAAGCAGGGGACCUUCGGGCCUUGCGCUAAUAGAUGAGCCUAAGUCGGAUUAGCUAGUUGGUGGGGUAAAGGCCUACCAAGGCGACGAUCUGUAGCGGGUCUGAGAGGAUGAUCCGCCACACUGGGACUGAGACACGGCCCAGACUCCUACGGGAGGCAGCAGUGGGGAAUAUUGGACAAUGGGGGGAACCCUGAUCCAGCCAUGCCGCGUGUGUGAAGAAGGCCUUUUGGUUGUAAAGCACUUUAAGCGAGGAGGAGGCUACCGAGAUUAAUACUCUUGGAUAGUGGACGUUACUCGCAGAAUAAGCACCGGCUAACUCUGUGCCAGCAGCCGCGGUAAUAC